This is a long non-coding RNA of Portunus trituberculatus (swimming crab), 194 nucleotides long. RefSeq lists it as uncharacterized. Lineage: Eukaryota; Metazoa; Arthropoda; Malacostraca; Decapoda; Portunidae. The transcript is spliced from 3 exons. The record is from RefSeq and is a predicted model, not a curated record.
GGAGAUCAUCUUCACCUGUCUUGGGAAGCACUGAAGAGCAACCACCAUCAGCUCCUCCUCGGGAUGUGAGGGUGAUGGCAGUGUCCUCGUCAGCACUGCGAGUCAGCUGGGAGCCACCACCUCACAAUUCCACACAUGGUACCUUGCUUGGUUACCACCUGGGAUAUAAGUUGGCCAGUGAAGCUGAAGGGCCU